UACGAACCGUCCAAACGUUAUUCGGAAUCACUGGGCUUAAAGAGUCUGUAGGCGGCUGAGAAAGUCGGGUGUGAAAUCCCACGGCUUAACCGUGGAACUGCGCCCUAAACUACUCAGCUUGAGGGAGCUAGAGGUAAGCGGAACUGAUGGUGGAGCGGUGAAAUGCGUUGAUAUCAUCAGGAACACCGGAGGCGAAGGCGGCUUACUGGGGCUUUUCUGACGCUGAGAGACGAAAGCUAGGGUAGCGAACGGG
This 253-nucleotide ribosomal RNA is filed under the name uncultured bacterium. RNAcentral describes it as "partial 16S ribosomal RNA". It matches the Rfam family "Bacterial small subunit ribosomal RNA", at positions 524 to 776 of the family's 1533-position model. The record is from RNAcentral.